GCCCUCUGGUGCCUUGGAGGAUAUAGGACUGUUAUUUAUAUUUACCCGUACAGUAUUUCACUUUGUUGCUGAACAAUGAGAACAUAUUAAUCACAUAAAAUGAAACAAUCACAGUGAUCACCUGGAGGUGUGCCCUGCUACCAGGAUUCAGUCCAGCCCUAGUCCAAAAAUGACGACAGCUCUCCAAGAAAAGGUUGAUGAUAAAUAACUGGUUUCCGUGAUUACAGAAACUGCCCGUGAAGCCCAUACUACUAUACACUCUUCUUUUGAUCGAAUAGAAGGAAGGCAUGCAUUUGUGGUUCUGAAUAGUAAAUACUUGCACAGAGAUGUGGUAAAGGUGGAUAUUGUCAUUCUGUUUUGACAGAGAAUGAACAGCGCAAGUUUUUGCCAAAAAGAUCAAAUCAGUAGCAGCGCAAAUGUGAAUCAGCAUCACACAAUUCACCAUGUGUUUUUGAACCCUC
This is a long non-coding RNA of Silurus meridionalis, 461 nucleotides long. RefSeq lists it as uncharacterized. NCBI's taxonomy places the organism in Eukaryota, Metazoa, Chordata, Actinopteri, Siluriformes, Siluridae. The transcript has 4 exons. The record is from RefSeq and is a predicted model, not a curated record.